Betta splendens (Siamese fighting fish) is the source of this 2093-nucleotide long non-coding RNA. The record is from Ensembl. NCBI's taxonomy places the organism in Eukaryota, Metazoa, Chordata, Actinopteri, Anabantiformes, Osphronemidae.
CAAACAUCAUAAAAAAUAUCAAUAAAAAAUGAUAUGCAUUUGUCAUUUAAAUAGCUGCUUACAGAUCAAUAACAUAAACAACAUUUUAUUAACUUGUAAUUAAGAUAGUGAUGUUUGGGGGGCGGCUACCAGUAAAACCAGUAAGUUCAGUCCAGAGUUGACAAAGCUAGCACUCCUUUCAAUCAGCCCUACCUAUGUGUUAAGUUUGUACUCACCAGAUGCCUUUCAUUAAACUAUAAAUAAUAAUAAAAAAAUAAACUAUUUCUACAAUGAUUCUUGUAGUGAAGUGAUUUACAAAUAUAAACAAAACAUUUAUAAAUAUCUGUUAGCAGGAAAAAUCAGAAGCGCUUCUGCUCUUUCCAUUCUCACACAUUUAUUUACUUUUCCUGGGAGAGACUGACAUCAAGUCCUUUGUUGCUUAAUUGCCCAUCAAUUCUCCAGGCUUCACUGGCUUCGCUUUACAUGCUGCUCAACCUGUUCUUCCAAUCCCCAACCAGAGGGUGGAAAGAGUGAGAAACAUGAGAAACGCAAAGUUGCUCUGUCUGAUAUAGGAAGCCGUCUGUUAAGCUGGUUACUGAACAGGGAAACAUUGGUUUUUAUGUGGACUGUGGAAGAUAAGACACACAAGACACAAGGGAACCAAGGCUAAACCAAGAUGCAAACUUACUGGACCUUGUCCUUUGUAUCCACCUUACUGUCCAUGACGCUGCUCGUGGUCACUAUGGGCCAAUAUCAAACACUGACCACUCUAACCACGGCACUUGAAAAAAUGGAAAAACAGUCAGACGAUCGUUUUAAUGAUUUUUCGAGAGAAGAACUCUUGUCAAUCAGACUGAGAAACCAGGUGAAUGCUAUGCACGGAUCGCUGAGGAAUCUGCAGACCUCACUGGCCAAUAUCACUGCAGAGAUGAUCAAGAAGAAUGAGGCAGACAAGGCCUGUUGGAACCUAAAGAAAAAACAAACCGAUCAGCUGGCCAGCCAAGAGAAGGAGCUCAGUAAGGUCAAAGGCACCAUUAAAGCAGAGUCUGAUGCCAGGGAGCAAGAAAUUAGGACUUUAAACGCACAGCUGCGUGCAAACAGUCCAAUAUGUGACUAUGUAAAGAGGAGCCUACAAUCUGACAAACUGUGCAUCGCCACCAAGGGGUGACGAUGAUGAUGGCGACCUGAUGAAAAUCCCAGCGCUACCUCAACUCCUCAGUGUCAUUAAUUAUACAGGUUGAUUAAUUAUACAGUGUAUAAUUCAGUACAUAUCAGAGUGUUUGUACAGAAAAUGUGAUGCUUUCACACAAAAUGAAGUGGACAGAGAUCUGUAAACAUUGUUUACUUUGUGUACCGCGUAUAAUGCUGACCUAUUAUUGUGGCCUGUUCACUAAACCAGUAUAAAGUAUGCACACUGACAGAAUGUUGGUGUGUAAAUGCAUUUACAUACUGAAGCUUUCUCGCCAAUCUGCCAUUUAUAUAAUCAGAUUUAUGCAUGUAGGAACCUAACAUGAACUUUGACCACGACCCCUCAGAACUCUGGCUCGGCCCCAGCUACAGACUUGACCCAGUAGCCCAGUGGCAGCUCCUCAAGCGUGUCUGUUUGUGUCCGAGUCGGUGAUCUAAAGGUGAACACGACACCCCACCCGUCACCUCAGACAGAAACAAUGGUGAAACGGGAUCCAGUGCGGAUGUUGGUGUGAUGAAUUACAGACUGGCACUCAUGACGUAGGUUAACGUGUUUAAAAGCAAUUUAAUUAAGACAAAUAUUAAAAGACUUGAAUUAUGGUUGGAGUUUUUAUUAAGUGAAAGAAGAGAAUUUGCAGAUUUUCUUUAUGAAUAGCAAAACAUUAUUAUAGGUUAUAUACUUUAGUUUUUGUUUCGCAUAAAGAAUCAGAAUCAGGUUUUCAGAUUCUUAUUAACUCAUCUUAAGUGUCCGGCUGCAUUUCUCGGUCCUAAAUGCAACAUUGCGCAUAAUAUUGGUUUGUAUCAUAUCAGAAACAUAAUUUUUGUGAUGGAGAACACAUCAAAUUAACCCUGAGCUGCUUUAGUUCACUCCUGCAAAAACAACAUUUAAAAAAUUGUAUUUGAUCAAACAUUAUUCCUCAUCAGCA